Molecule: ribosomal RNA, 225 nt
Filed under: Triticum aestivum (bread wheat)
Lineage: Eukaryota; Viridiplantae; Streptophyta; Magnoliopsida; Poales; Poaceae
Description: partial small subunit ribosomal RNA
Source: RNAcentral
AUGAAUUUCCUGGCCUGGAACUGUCGAGGGUUGGGGUUGGACUCGGCAGUUGGCGAACUACGUGACCUGAUACGGUCAUACAACCCAGCGGUGGUGUUUCUAUCGGAAACAAAGAAGAAGGCGUGAGUGAUGGAGAAACUUAAGUGGAGUUUGGGAUUCAGGAGUGGUGUUGCGGUGGAUUGUCAAGGGUUGAGCGGGGGUCUAGUGCUGUGGCGGAGAGAAAAU